Molecule: unclassified non-coding RNA, 189 nt
Filed under: Tremella sp.
Lineage: Eukaryota; Fungi; Basidiomycota; Tremellomycetes; Tremellales; Tremellaceae
Description: partial contains small subunit ribosomal RNA, internal transcribed spacer 1, and 5.8S ribosomal RNA
Rfam family: Eukaryotic small subunit ribosomal RNA (bases 1-46)
Source: RNAcentral
AAGUCAUAACAAGGUUUCCGUAGGUGAACCUGCGGAAGGAUCAUUAGAGAUGCCGAAAGGCUUUUCCAAACACCUGUGCACCGGCCUGAAGCCCGAGAGGGUCGACGGCCACUUUACACACAAACUCAUGUCAUGAACGUAACAUAUCAUAAUCAAAAACAACUUUCAACAACGGAUCUCUUGGCUCUC